Molecule: ribosomal RNA, 106 nt
Filed under: Staphylococcus epidermidis
Lineage: Bacteria; Bacillati; Bacillota; Bacilli; Caryophanales; Staphylococcaceae
Description: partial 16S ribosomal RNA
Rfam family: Bacterial small subunit ribosomal RNA
Source: RNAcentral
UUUUUAUGGAGAGUUUGAUCCUGGCUCAGGAUGAACGCUGGCGGCGUGCCUAAUACAUGCAAGUCGAGCGAACAGAUGAGGAGCUUGCUCCUCUGACGUUAGCGGC